GUAAAUAUAGUUUAACUAAAACAUUAGAUUGUGGAUCUAAAAA
This 43-nucleotide transfer RNA is filed under the name Petaurus breviceps (sugar glider). Its description in RNAcentral is "partial tRNA-His". The record is from RNAcentral. Lineage: Eukaryota; Metazoa; Chordata; Mammalia; Diprotodontia; Petauridae.